UGCUUGGAAAGUUGGGCUAAAUCCCUUUAUCCCAGGUCUCCAGUCUGGGCCCUCUGGGAACCCUGCUGCUGUGGUACUGAUGGGAGUAUUAUACUUCAGUCCAAAGAUGGCUUCUCAUGGUGCCUAGGAAGGCUGAGCACUAGCAAACAAAGCAGUCACCAACCCAGAGAAGGCAAUGCUGUCUGCAAAUGAUGCUCGAUAAAUUCUCUCCAACUCCAGGGACAAGGCUGAACUCACAGGAAAAAGCUACUGGCAAGCCGAUGUCAUGAAGGUCUUAAACUCUUCUGGAGGGAGAUGUGGAUUUCCUAACAACUUUAUACAGCAUUACCAAUAUAGAUGCUAUCCAGAAGUUUGUACUCCUGGACAAUUGGAACCCUGGACAGCCAGCACUGGAUGAUGGUGACACAGAAUGACUAAGAAGUCAGCCAUCUGUCCUAACAGAGGUCGCAGUGUGCUGUGGGUGGCAGAGCAUGGUGGAGUAAACAAACAAGUAACAUGUGAUAAAGAUGAUAAAAGUAAUAAGCACAGAGCUGGGCAGAGGGCAGCUGAACUAGGAACCAUGAGCGCCCACCCAGCAAGGAUGGACAGGGAAGGCCUCUCGGAGGAAGUGAGACACCUGAAAUAAGGUCAAAGGGAAGGAAGACACCAACCAUUCAAAAAAUAAAUAAAAAAAAAAUUUCAGAUCAA
Tupaia belangeri chinensis (Chinese tree shrew) is the source of this 687-nucleotide long non-coding RNA. RefSeq lists it as uncharacterized. NCBI's taxonomy places the organism in Eukaryota, Metazoa, Chordata, Mammalia, Scandentia, Tupaiidae. The record is from RefSeq and is a predicted model, not a curated record. The transcript is spliced from 3 exons.